This 485-nucleotide ribosomal RNA is filed under the name uncultured bacterium. Its description in RNAcentral is "bacterial SSU rRNA". It matches the Rfam family "Bacterial small subunit ribosomal RNA", at positions 28 to 507 of the family's 1533-position model. The record is from RNAcentral.
GAUGAACGCUAGCUACAGGCUUAACACAUGCAAGUCGAGGGGCAGCGCAGUGUAGCAAUACGAUGGGCGGCGACCGGCGCACGGGUGCGUAACGCGUAUCCAACCUUCCCGUUACUCAGGGAUAGCCUUCCGAAAGGGGAGAUUAAUACCUGAUGGUGUUCAAAUUCCGCAUGUUAUUGAACUAAAGAUUUAUCGGUAACGGAUGGGGAUGCGUACGAUUAGCUUGUUGGCGGGGUAACGCCCACCAAGGCGACGAUCAGUAGGGGUUCUGAGAGGAAGGUCCCCCACACUGGAACUGAGACACGGUCCAGACUCCUACGGGAGGCAGCAGUGAGGAAUAUUGGUCAAUGGUCUGACGACUGAACCAGCCAUGCCGCGUGAAGGUCACGGCCCUAUGGGUCUUAAACUUCUUUUGUAAGGGAGCAAUAAGCUUUACGUGUAGAGUGAUGAGAGUACCUUACGAAUAAGCAUCGGCUAACUCCGUG